CAGACGCUUUCUUCUCGUCUGUCGCCAUGUGAGAUGUACCUUUCACUUUCCUCCAUGAUUGUGAGGCCUCCUUAGCCACAUGGAACUGCCCUGGCAAUCACUAUUCCAGUCUCUGCUUCUAUGAGUUUGACUAUUUCAGAUUCCACAUGUAGGAAAUGCUGGAGUCCUUCAUCCGAAUGGUAAAUGGCACUUGUGACAAAAAUCAAAGUAACUAAAAAAGAAUCUGGUUGAAACCUCAGUAACAGUUGGCCUGUCUACUGCCUCACACUAACAAGGGGGAGCUAAUAAAACCGAGGUUAGAACACACAAUGUGGAAAUGAAAACCUUAUUCUUGUCAAUGGAUGGAGGGUGGAUUCUGUUAUGUGGAAUGCCUUUAUACAUCUUUGUCUACUGGUUGGGAUGCUGCUCAUUUCCCUUUUCCUGAAAGCUUUCCAGACACUCAAGGUGCCAUAAGGCAAAAUAUAAUAGUUUAUAUUUCUGUGUCCUCAAACAUCGUAAACAGUCAAUGUGUCGGAUGAACUUUUCUCCAAUUCAUUAUAACCAGACAAUAGGUUCUUUGAAGGCUAUGACCAAAUCGUGAGCCCAUUUUCCUUCCUUAACAUACUGCACCCAAAUGAGCAGAACCUAGUGGAGAUCUUGCGGCUUAGAGCUUGCUGAAUUUGGUAAAGACAAAAAUUCUUGUGUUAUGUGUGGUGGUUGCAUGUGCAUGUGUGUUAGUGUAGGUGCUGUGUGUGUGUGUGUGUGUGUGUGUGUGUGUUUGCAUGGGGCAAUAUGGAGAUAGUGAUGGAGUACAAGAAGGAGCUUGACUUUCAUGAGCUCCUGAGAAAACUCAUCUAUCCAUCAAUCCCCCAUGCAAUUACUAAGUGCUUAAUCCAUGCCAGGCACUGUUAGAAGGCACCAGGAAGACAAAGUUCCUGCCAUCGACACUUACAUACUAGAGGAGGAAAUAGGAAAUAAACAGGUAAGGAAAUACAUGCAAAGUAUGAUAUUAGGAUGUGAUAAGCAUUAUCAAGUGAGUAAAAUGGAGAAAAGGAAUAGAAAGUGACAGGGGUUGCAAUUUUGGAAUAGAUGAUUAGAGAAGUCCUACCAGCAAAGUGACAUUUGUUGAGCAGGAACAUAAAAGAGGUGAGGUAUUAAGCUAGGUACGUAUCUAAAAAAAAAUGUAUUUCCAGGCAGAGGAAACAGUAAUGGCAAAGGUUUUAGAGAAAAAAAAAAGUAUAACCCAGGUUAACCUCUCUUGCAGAACUAGUUUAGCCUGUCCCUUUUACUGGUGAAAUCACUGUUAAUGUUUCUGUAGUAAAGGUAGUGUUUUAAAUGAUUUAUAUAAUACAAUAAAAUUUGUAAUCUCAUUCAAGCUCCUUUCUUCAUCUUUAAAAUGAAGUUAAACUCGGGAAAAAAGGAUUGUUCUAGCUCUGAAUUGCUGCACUACUGUGACUUAAGUGCUCCUCUGCUCUCCUAGCAGCACUUUUAUCUUACGAAUUUAUAUUUAUAUAUAUAUGAUUAGAACAUUAUAAAGUAGAAAAAAUUAUGGUUGUUAUUUUUAUUAGUAGUAGUAUUUUGUCUGUAUUUUGUGAUUUCUGAAGCUGUGGCUACCUGGUUCUUUCUGUUUCAAUUAUGACUUUAAUUGUGAGGCAACACUGUAAAGCACUCAAAUAUCAGUGGUCAGGAAUGUGCUGCAAGCAGAUCCUCUCUCUCUUAUUAAUUCCAGAACACCAAAUGUCUUAGUCCAUUUUGCCUUACCAUAAAGGAAUACCUAAGGCUGGUAAUUUAUAAAUAAAAGAGGUAUAUUUGGCUUAUGCUUCCACAGCCUGUACAAGAAACAUGGUGCCAGCAUCUGCUUCUGGUGAGGACUGCAGGAAGCUUCCAAUCAUGGUCCAAAAAAUGCGGAGCCUGCGUGUCACGUGAUAAGAGAUGGAGCGUGAGAAAGAGGCAGGAGGAGAAAGUGACCCCCACCUUUACAAGUGUCUGUAAUUCUCACUAGCAGUAUAUUAGAGGGCAAAAGAUUUGAACAGACACAUCAGAAAAGAAGACAUACAAAUGGCCGCUAAGCACUUGAAAGGAUUCUGAACACCAUUAGUCAUCAGUGAAAUGCAAAUUAAAGCCAUAAUGAAUGGCGCUAUACAUUUUCAGAAUGGCAAGGAUUGAAGACCGAAAAAAAUCAAGCGUUGAGGAGAGUGACAAAUGGGGAGACAGCCGUGGUGCAUGAUCGCCGAAUAAAUACCAUGUGAGGAUACAGCAAGAAGGUGGCCAUCUACAAGCCAAGGAGACAGGCCUCAGAAGAAACCAACCCUUCUUACACCCUGGACUCAGACUUCUAAUCUCCAGAACUUGUUAAUGCACAAGGUCUUGUGUUGAAAAUGUAGAGCCACGAGAUAAAAGCAGCUUGGAUGGCUGACUCAUAUACAAGGACAACUGCCUGAGAGUCACCAGGGCUAUCAAGAAGUUUGCAGAAACAAGAAAUAAACUUUUACUGUUUUAAACUUUUGUGAAUUUUGGGUUUUGUUUAUCACCAAAUAAACCUAGUCUAUUCUGAUUGUUAUAAGUGGUUAAUUUGGGAAGUCAGAUAUAUUUAAAAUUGGCUUACUGCUGUAACAUAUACAGUCCAAAUUACAUAAUGGCUCAAAUGCAAUAGAAGUCUUUUUUUUUUUUGCUCACAUAUCACUUCACUGAGAUUCUGCAUUAAUUGUAAUGAUGAGGGUGAGGGUGUCU
This 2709-nucleotide long non-coding RNA is filed under the name Homo sapiens (human). RNAcentral describes it as "HSALNT0066321". Lineage: Eukaryota; Metazoa; Chordata; Mammalia; Primates; Hominidae. The record is from RNAcentral.